Molecule: transfer RNA, 85 nt
Filed under: Chelatococcus reniformis
Lineage: Bacteria; Pseudomonadati; Pseudomonadota; Alphaproteobacteria; Hyphomicrobiales; Chelatococcaceae
Description: tRNA-Val
Source: RNAcentral
CGGCGUGAGAUCCGCCGGGUUGUCGUAGACGCCGACGUUCACGCCGAUGGCCUGGUGCGUGUCGUUCCAUUCGAUGCACGCCGCC